This 472-nucleotide ribosomal RNA is filed under the name uncultured bacterium. Its description in RNAcentral is "bacterial SSU rRNA". It matches the Rfam family "Bacterial small subunit ribosomal RNA", at positions 30 to 497 of the family's 1533-position model. The record is from RNAcentral.
AUUGAACGCUGGCGGAAUGCUUUACACAUGCAAGUCGAGCGGCAGCGCGGGGCAACCUGGCGGCGAGCGGCGAACGGGUGAGUAAUACAUCGGAACGUGCCCAGACGUGGGGGAUAACUACUCGAAAGAGUGGCUAAUACCGCAUACGAUCUAAGGAUGAAAGCGGGGGAUCGCAAGACCUCGCGCGUUUGGAGCGGCCGAUGGCAGAUUAGGUAGUUGGUGGGGGUAAAGGCUUACCAAGCCCGCGAUCUGUAGCUGGUCUGAGAGGAUGAUCAGCCACACUGGGACUGAGACACGGCCCAGACUCCUACGGGAGGCAGCAGUGGGGAAUUUUGGACAAUGGGCGAAAGCCUGAUCCAGCCAUUCCGCGUGCAGGAUGAAGGCCCUCGGGUUGUAAACUGCUUUGUACAGAACGAAAAGACUCUUUCUAAUACAGAGAGUCCAUGACGGUACUGUAAGAAUAAGACACCGG